UAAGUUUAAAGUGACAAAAAGUCAGGUUUAAUCACCACAGCAAUAAUCCCACUAUGGCGGCCAUGAGGCCCCAGGUCGGGAACGACCUACACUCUUACACAAGCCCGCUGACCGAACAUCGCGGGCCAACAGCCAUACUGGCGCAACCUCUUUUCCUUUCUGUUUACAUGCGUUACGAAUCAGAUGGAAGAUACAGGUAUGGCGCGUAACAAUAUCCUACGCUACAGUGAGUGCAGAUUAACUGAAAAUGUAAAACAUACUCUGCACAAGUAAAGAGCAAUGCGGACUGGUAACAAAAAUAUCAAAUGCAUGAAUGUAUAGCAAGGCACAAUGAGGUGGGGCACACAUACAUGGCUAUGGUAACGGGUGAUACAAGUGUGUGUACACAUGGAUACAUACACACGAGUGAUGGCAUAAAGGGUCAUAUGGUGUGGCUACCAGUGUACAUACACAGGGGUUACAUACACAGUGUGAUGACAUACAUGGUUACGUAGUGUGAUUACAGGUGUGCAUACAUGACUACAUAACACUAGCAUACAUGGCUACCGGCGGUACCAUGUAUGGGGUUGGGGGUGACCACUUUUUUUUUCUCCUCCUCUACCUUCCCCGCUAGUUGCAAAAAAAAGGAGGCAAGUACAUGCACAAAUGAGUACACAAACAAAAUGAGGCGCAUGAGCGUGGCUAUGAUAAUGUGAUGUGAAAUGUGUGGUAUGUGCUGGUUUACAAUUAUCUGGUUUUGCCAGUGGAACGAAAUAACAAUGUGGUACAGUGUAAAAACAGGGGCACAGAACCAGAUAUGGAGUGUAAGUAUAUGUGUUAACAACACAGCACUGUGUGCAUAGGGAUAGAUGGGACAUGAUAUGAUGCACACAUGUGUGGGGACAUAAAUGCCACAGAGCACAAGGUGUGGAUAUGAACACAGUAUGAGGCAGGACGUGUAAACAAUUGUGUUACUACUAACUUUAGAUAUAAUGAAUACACAUCUGGGCUGGAUAAAAACAUGUGCUGGCAAACAAAAUGUUGUGAGACAGACUUAAUGCAGUACAGAUGUGAAGUGGAAUGUAGGGACAAAAAUAUCACCGAAACAGUGGGGUUGAUGCUACAAAACAUGACAAAUACAGUGUGAGGGAUACAUAACAAAUGUGAAAAUAAUAUGGAGGGAUACACAAUGUCAGAAACACUAUUACACAAUAAAAGGGGGUGUGAUCCACAAAUAGGCAAAAUAGGGUACAAAAACAGGCAUGGAAACAGAUGUGGGCUGAUAAUAUGCGCACAUGCACCAAGGAUAUGGAAAUACAUCUACAAUGGAGGUGAGCUGGGUGAAACAGGUGAACUACACAUGAUAACAAAAUAUGGAAUGUGGAUGGGCUUAAACUAUAAAUAAGAAAUCCUGAAAUAAAACGAAUACUGAAUUAAGGAGUAGUCAAUUAAAGUCAGUGCUAUAGAGUCAAAGUUCGCCCGCAGAGGGCAAAUAAACCCAAAUAAGAUAAGUGUCCAAAAUAAAUAAAGUUCGAAGAGUACAUAAAUAGUGGCUUAGACCCACUUCACCGCAGUUCUUGAUGACUUGACUUCGUCCAAUGUCAGGCGGUGUUUCUCCUCGCAAAGAAAACAGGUAAAAUCCUCAGUAAUGUCUCGGUAAUGUUGUCAGCACGUCGAAGACUUGCGGAGUUGGUUUGAGAGGCCUUGUUUUGCUCUCAUGGUUCACAAGUCUUUGUCUUGUUUUCCCGAAGGGAUAUAGUCGCGCUCGCAACUAAACACAAACGAACGUAAAUAAAUGGGUCUUGUCGGCGCUUCAGACGACUUGCAGGGUUAGUUCGAGAAGCCUUGUUUUGCUCUCAUGGUUCGCAAGUUUUGUCUUGCUAUCCCGAAGGAAUGUCAAUGUCCAAGUCGCGUUCGCAAAUAAACACUGAUGUCGAACGUAAAUGCAUUGGUAUUGUCAGUGCUUCAGACGUCCAAGAUCAGUCUAACACGAGCCCUGACUCUUGACUUUUCUUCGCGGAAUGACCAAACUGUCAAA
Long non-coding RNA from Nematostella vectensis (starlet sea anemone), 2017 nucleotides. RefSeq lists it as uncharacterized. NCBI's taxonomy places the organism in Eukaryota, Metazoa, Cnidaria, Anthozoa, Actiniaria, Edwardsiidae. The transcript has 2 exons. The record is from RefSeq and is a predicted model, not a curated record.